AGACUCUGCAGCAGUUGGUAGCAGGCAAGCUUUCUCCUGGGUGUCGCCUUGAAAAGUUGCAAAAUUGCUCUUCACCUGUAAGAACAUGCUCUUUAUCUUCCAGUCUCUUCUUGUCAAUUUGGAAAUUGCAGACUGCCCGGCUCAGGCUACCAAGUCAUGAUGGAGAAAAACGUGAAACCACUGAUUCAGUUCAUUGCAAAUUCAU
Molecule: long non-coding RNA, 205 nt
Filed under: Homo sapiens (human)
Lineage: Eukaryota; Metazoa; Chordata; Mammalia; Primates; Hominidae
Description: HSALNT0377225
Source: RNAcentral